Molecule: ribosomal RNA, 450 nt
Filed under: uncultured Glomeromycotina
Lineage: Eukaryota; Fungi; Glomeromycota
Description: SSU rRNA
Rfam family: Eukaryotic small subunit ribosomal RNA
Source: RNAcentral
AGCAGCCGCGGUAAUUCCAGCUCCAAUAGCGUAUAUUAAAGUUGUUGCAGUUAAAAGCUCGUAGUUGAAUUUCGGGAUCAGUACGCUGGUCGUGCCUUCGGUAUGAACUGGUGUCACUGGUUCCUCCCUUCUGAAGAACCGUUAUGCCAUUAAGUUGGUGUGGCGGGGAAUCAGGACUGUUACUUUGAAAAAUUAGAGUGUUUAAAGCAGGCUCGCGCUUGAAUACAUUAGCAUGGAAUAAUGAAAUAGGACGUUUGAUCCUAUUUUGUUGGUUUCUAGGAUCGACGUAAUGAUUAAUAGGGAUAGUUGGGGGCAUUAGUAUUCAAUUGUCAGAGGUGAAAUUCUUGGAUUUAUUGAAGACUAACUACUGCGAAAGCAUUUGCCAAGGAUGUUUUCAUUAAUCAAGAACGAAAGUUAGGGGAUCGAAGACGAUCAGAUACCGUCGUAGUC